Molecule: small RNA, 57 nt
Filed under: Podarcis muralis (Common wall lizard)
Lineage: Eukaryota; Metazoa; Chordata; Lepidosauria; Squamata; Lacertidae
Also listed under: 1 other name
Source: RNAcentral
GACACUGGCGGUCGGCGCUCCUGGUUCCCAGGACGGGGUUCAAAUCCCUGCGGUGUC